GAUGAACGCUGGCGGCGUGCCUAAUACAUGCAAGUCGAGCGAACAGACGAGGAGCUUGCUCCUCUGAUGUUAGCGGCGGACGGGUGAGUAACACGUGGAUAACCUACCUAUAAGACUGGGAUAACUUCGGGAAACCGGAGCUAAUACCGGAUAACAUGUUGAACCGCAUGGUUCAACAGUGAAAGACGGUCUUGCUGUCACUUAUAGAUGGAUCCGCGCCGCAUUAGCUAGUUGGUAAGGUAACAGCUUACCAAGGCAACGAUGCGUAGCCGACCUGAGAGGGUGAUCGGCCACACUGGAACUGCGACACGGUCCAGACUCCUACGGGAGGCAGCAGUAGGGAAUCUUCCGCAAUGGGCGAAAGCCUGACGGAGCAACGCCGCGUGAGUGAAGAAGGUCUUCGGAUCGUAAAACUCUGUUAUUAGGGAAGAACAAAUGUGUAAGUAACUAUGCACGUCUUGACGGUACCUAAUCAGAAAGCCACGGCUAACUACGUG
Molecule: ribosomal RNA, 497 nt
Filed under: uncultured bacterium
Lineage: Bacteria
Description: partial 16S ribosomal RNA
Rfam family: Bacterial small subunit ribosomal RNA
Source: RNAcentral